RNAcentral lists this ribosomal RNA (397 nucleotides) under Bacillus sp. Lwazi37. Its description in RNAcentral is "bacterial SSU rRNA". It matches the Rfam family "Bacterial small subunit ribosomal RNA", at positions 447 to 841 of the family's 1533-position model. Lineage: Bacteria; Bacillati; Bacillota; Bacilli; Caryophanales; Bacillaceae. The record is from RNAcentral.
GUACAAGAGUAACUGCUUGUACCUUGACGGUACCUAACCAGAAAGCCACGGCUAACUACGUGCCAGCAGCCGCGGUAAUACGUAGGUGGCAAGCGUUAUCCGGAAUUAUUGGGCGUAAAGCGCGCGCAGGCGGUUUCUUAAGUCUGAUGUGAAAGCCCACGGCUCAACCGUGGAGGGUCAUUGGAAACUGGGGAACUUGAGUGCAGAAGAGAAAAGCGGAAUUCCACGUGUAGCGGUGAAAUGCGUAGAGAUGUGGAGGAACACCAGUGGCGAAGGCGGCUUUUUGGUCUGUAACUGACGCUGAGGCGCGAAAGCGUGGGGAGCAAACAGGAUUAGAUACCCUGGUAGUCCACGCCGUAAACGAUGAGUGCUAAGUGUUAGAGGGUUUCCGCCCUUU